This is a ribosomal RNA of Sinocyclocheilus grahami, 116 nucleotides long. The record is from Ensembl. Lineage: Eukaryota; Metazoa; Chordata; Actinopteri; Cypriniformes; Cyprinidae.
ACCACAGCCAUAUCACCCUGCAGCCCAAGACUGGUUGCCCACUGAAGCUAAGCAGGGUUCAGCCUAGUCAGUACCUGGAUGGGAGACCUCCUGGGAAAACUAGGUUGCUGCUGGAA